This 497-nucleotide ribosomal RNA is filed under the name uncultured bacterium. RNAcentral's name for it is "partial 16S ribosomal RNA". It matches the Rfam family "Bacterial small subunit ribosomal RNA", at positions 28 to 507 of the family's 1533-position model. The record is from RNAcentral.
GAUGAACGCUGGCGGCGUGCCUAAUACAUGCGAGUCGAGCGAACAGACGAGGAGAUUGCUCCUUUGAUGUUAGCGGCGGACGGGCGAGUAACACGUGGAUAACAUACUUCUAAGUCUGGGAUAACUUCGGGAAACAGGAGCUAAUACUGGCUAAUAUAUCGAACCGCAUGGUUCAAUAGUGAAAGACGGUUUUGCUGUUAUUUAUAGAUGGAUCCGCGCCGCAUUAGCUAGUUGGUAAGGUACCGGCUUACCAAGGCAACGAUGCGUAGCUGACCUGAGAGGGUGAUCAGCCACACUGGAACUGAGACACGGUCCAGACUCCUACGGGAGGCAGCAGUAGGGAAUCUUCCGCAAUGGGCGAAAGCUUGACGGAGCAACACCGCGUGAGUGAUGAAGGUCUUCGGGUCGUAAAACUCUGUUAUUAGGAAAGAACAGAUGUGUAAGUAACUAUGCACGUCUUGACGGUACCUAAACAGAAAGCCACGGCUAACUACGUG